Non-coding RNA from Podarcis lilfordi (Lilford's wall lizard), 89 nucleotides. NCBI's taxonomy places the organism in Eukaryota, Metazoa, Chordata, Lepidosauria, Squamata, Lacertidae. The record is from the annotation of a GenBank genome assembly.
UCUCUCUCUCUCUCUCUCUCUCUCUCUCUCUCACACACACACACACACACACACACACAGAGAGAGAGAGAGAGAGAGAGAGAGAGAGA